UACGUAGGUGGCAAGCGUUGUUCGGAAUUAUUGGGCGUAAAGGGCGCGUAGGCGGUUUGUUAAGUCAGCUGUGAAAGCCCGGGGCUCAACCCCGGAGGGUCAGCUGAUACUGGCAGGCUAGAGUACAGAAGAGGUAACUGGAAUUCCCGGUGUAGCGGUGAAAUGCGUAGAUAUCUGGAGGAACACCGGUGGCGAAGGCGGCAUUCUGGACCAUAACUGACACUGAGAGACGAAAGCCAGGGGAGCAAACGGG
This 253-nucleotide ribosomal RNA is filed under the name uncultured bacterium. RNAcentral's name for it is "partial 16S ribosomal RNA". It matches the Rfam family "Bacterial small subunit ribosomal RNA", at positions 524 to 776 of the family's 1533-position model. The record is from RNAcentral.